AUGGAGAAGCCGCCCAUCCCGAGCAUCAUCUCCACCGUCACCUACUGCUGCGGGGCGUGCGGGUACGACCUGAGGCUGAGCUCGCUGGCGCGGGACACGGCUGGCGGCGCGAGGCGGCGGUGCGUGGGCGCGGCGGAGGUGGUGUUCGACGCCAUCGACGACGCGCGAUUCGGCCACCUAGAGGAGUUCCGGUGGCUGGACGUGCGCGCCUGCCUCCCCUUCUCGCGACGCACGCGCCUGCUCUGCCGCAAGUGCGGCGCCCGCCUCGGCUACGGCUACGACGACACCGCCGCCGCCGAGCGCCCGCCGCGCUACCACAUCAAGAUCCGGGCCCUCCAGCUCGCCCCUGAUCCCUCCCCGGACGCCACGGCACCGUCCGAUCCGUGA
This 387-nucleotide ribosomal RNA is filed under the name Triticum aestivum (bread wheat). RNAcentral describes it as "partial small subunit ribosomal RNA". The record is from RNAcentral. Lineage: Eukaryota; Viridiplantae; Streptophyta; Magnoliopsida; Poales; Poaceae.